This 253-nucleotide ribosomal RNA is filed under the name uncultured bacterium. RNAcentral describes it as "partial 16S ribosomal RNA". It matches the Rfam family "Bacterial small subunit ribosomal RNA", at positions 524 to 776 of the family's 1533-position model. The record is from RNAcentral.
UACGAAGGGGGCUAGCGUUGCUCGGAAUCACUGGGCGUAAAGCGCACGUAGGCGGCUUACUAAGUCAGGGGUGAAAUCCUGGAGCUCAACUCCAGAACUGCCUUUGAUACUGGUGAGCUUGAGUCCGGGAGAGGUGAGUGGAACUGCGAGUGUAGAGGUGAAAUUCGUAGAUAUUCGCAAGAACACCAGUGGCGAAGGCGGCUCACUGGCCCGGUACUGACGCUGAGGUGCGAAAGCGUGGGGAGCAAACAGG